Molecule: ribosomal RNA, 748 nt
Filed under: uncultured bacterium
Lineage: Bacteria
Description: bacterial SSU rRNA
Rfam family: Bacterial small subunit ribosomal RNA
Source: RNAcentral
UUUGAUCCUGGCUCAGAGUGAACGCUGGCGGCAGGCCUAAUACAUGCAAGUCGAACGGCAGCACAGCAGAGCUUGCUCUGUGGGUGGCGAGUGGCGGACGGGCGAGGAAUACAUGGGAAUCUGCCCAGUCGUGGGGGAUAACGUAUGGAAACGUACGCUAAUACCGCAUGCGCCCUACGGGGGAAAGCCGGGGACCGAAAGGCCUGGCGCGAUUGGAUGAGCCCAUGUUCGAUUAGCUAGUUGGAGGGGUAACGGCCCACCAAGGCGACGAUCGAUAGCUGGUCUGAGAGGAUGAUCAGCCGCACUGGGACUGAGACACGGCCCAGACUCCUACGGGAGGCAGCAGUAGGGAAUAUUGGACAAUGGGCGCAAGCCUGAUCCAGCCAUGCCGCGUGAGUGAAGAAGGCCCUCGGGUUGUAAAGCUCUUUUGUUGGGGAAGAAAAGCAUCCGGUUAAUACCCGGGUGUUCUGACGGUACCCAAAGAAUAAGCACCGGCUAACUUCGUGCCAGCAGCCGCGGUAAUACGAAGGGUGCAAGCGUUACUCGGAAUUACUGGGCGUAAAGCGUGCGUAGGUGGUUUGUUAAGUCUGAUGUGAUAGCCCUGGGCUCAACCUGGGAAUGGCACUGGAUACUGGCAAGCUAGAGUGUGGCAGAGGGUAGUGGAAUUCCUGGUGUAGCAGUGAAGUGCGUAGAGAUCAGGAGGAACAUCCGUGGCGAAGGCGACUGCCUGGGCCAACACUGACACUGA